Molecule: ribosomal RNA, 497 nt
Filed under: uncultured bacterium
Lineage: Bacteria
Description: partial 16S ribosomal RNA
Rfam family: Bacterial small subunit ribosomal RNA
Source: RNAcentral
GAUGAACGCUGGCGGCGUGCCUAAUUCAUGCAAGUCGAGCGAACAGACGAGGAGCUUGCUCCUCUGUCGUUAGCGGCGCACGGGUCAGUACCACGUCGAUAACCUACCUAUAAGACUGGGAUAACUUCGGGAAACCGGAGCUAAUACCGGAUAAUAUAUUCAUCCGCUUGAUUCUAUAGUCAUAGACGCUUUUGCUGUCACUUAUACACGGAUCCGCGCCGCAUUAGCUAGUUGGUAAGGUAACGGCUUACCAAGGCAACGACGCCUAGCCGACCGGAGAGGGUGAUCGGCCACCCGGGAACUGGGACACGGCCCAGACUCCUACGGGAGGCAGCAGUAGGGAACCUUCCGUCAUGGGCGAAGGCCUGACGGAGCAACGCCGCGUGCGUGAGGAAGGUCUUCGGAUCGUAAAACUCUGUUAUUAGGGAAGAACAAAUGUGUAAGUAAAUAUGCACGUGUUGACGGUACCUAAUCAGAAAGCCACGGCUGAUUACGUG